RNAcentral lists this ribosomal RNA (361 nucleotides) under Klebsiella pneumoniae. RNAcentral's name for it is "bacterial SSU rRNA". It matches the Rfam family "Bacterial small subunit ribosomal RNA", at positions 562 to 924 of the family's 1533-position model. The record is from RNAcentral. Lineage: Bacteria; Pseudomonadati; Pseudomonadota; Gammaproteobacteria; Enterobacterales; Enterobacteriaceae.
AAAGCGCACGCAGGCGGUCUGUCAAGUCGGAUGUGAAAUCCCCGGGCUCAACCUGGGAACUGCAUUCGAAACUGGCAGGCUAGAGUCUUGUAGAGGGGGUAGAAUUCCAGGUGUAGCGGUGAAAUGCGUAGAGAUCUGGAGGAAUACCGGUGGCGAAGGCGGCCCCUGGACAAAGACUGACGCUCAGGUGCGAAAGCGUGGGGAGCAAACAGGAUUAGAUACCCUGGUAGUCCACGCCGUAAACGAUGUCGAUUUGGAGGUUGUGCCCUUGAGGCGUGGCUUCCGGAGCUAACGCGUUAAAUCGACCGCCUGGGGAGUACGGCCGCAAGGUUAAAACUCAAAUGAAUUGACGGGGGCCCGC